Molecule: ribosomal RNA, 386 nt
Filed under: uncultured Ehrlichia sp.
Lineage: Bacteria; Pseudomonadati; Pseudomonadota; Alphaproteobacteria; Rickettsiales; Anaplasmataceae
Description: bacterial SSU rRNA
Rfam family: Bacterial small subunit ribosomal RNA (bases 1-324)
Source: RNAcentral
UUCCAAUUAUUUUAUACUUCUGGCUAUAGGAAAUUGUUAGUGGCAGACGGGUGAGUAAUGCGUAGGAAUCUACCUAGUAGUACGGAAUAGCCAUUAGAAAUGGUGGGUAAUACUGUAUAAUCCCCGAGGGGGAAAGAUUUAUCGCUAUUAGAUGAGCCUACGUUAGAUUAGCUAGUUGGUGAGGUAAUGGCUUACCAAGGCUAUGAUCUAUAGCUGGUCUGAGAGGACGAUCAGCCACACUGGAACUGAGAUACGGUCCAGACUCCUACGGGAGGCAGCAGUGGGGAAUAUUGGACAAUGGGCGAAAGCACCUGAUGCGCCACGACAUCAUGACCACCACGACACCCACGACAACACUAUCCAUAGCCUCGGGCUCGACAGUCAGA